RNAcentral lists this ribosomal RNA (498 nucleotides) under uncultured bacterium. Its description in RNAcentral is "partial 16S ribosomal RNA". It matches the Rfam family "Bacterial small subunit ribosomal RNA", at positions 29 to 523 of the family's 1533-position model. The record is from RNAcentral.
AUUGAACGCUGGCGGCAUGCCUUACACAUGCAAGUCGAACGGUAACGCGGGGCAACCUGGCGACGAGUGGCGAACGGGUGAGUAAUGCAUCGGAACGUGCCCAGUAGUGGGGGAUAGCCCGGCGAAAGCCGGAUUAAUACCGCAUACGACCUGAGGGUGAAAGCGGGGGACCGAAAGGCCUCGCGCUAUUGGAGCGGCCGGUGUCAGAUUAGGUAGUUGGUGGGGUAAAGGCCUACCAAGCCUGCGAUCUGUAGCUGGUCUGAGAGGACGACCAGCCAAACUGGGACUGAGACACGGCACAGACUCCUACGGGAGGCAGCAGUGGGGAAUUUUGGACAAUGGGCGCAAGCCUGAUCCAGCCAUGCCGCGUGCGGGAAGAAGGCCUUCGGGUUGUAAACCGCUUUUGUCAGGGAAGAAACGCUCUGGGUUAAUACCCUGGGGUAAUGACGGUACCUGAAGAAUAAGCACCGGCUAACUACGUGCCAGCCGCCGCCGUAA